GAUGAAGAACGUAGCGAAAUGCGAUAAGUAAUGUGAAUUGCAGAAUUCAGUGAAUCAUCGAAUCUUUGAACGCACCUUGCACUCCUUGGUAUUCCGAGGAGUACGCCUGUUCGAGUGUUAUGAAGCUCUCAAAACGCAAUUGGCUUAAAACCUGAUUGUUGUUUUGGAUUUGAACUUUGCCGUGUUAUAACGGCUGGUUUUAAAAGUAUUAGCUGGUACUAGAACGAAUUGGUUCUACUCAACGUGAUAAUUAUCUGAUCGUUGAGGACAUUCCUUUCACGAGGAAUGGCCAUAGUAAAUUCAAUGGACUGCUUCUAAUCUGGCUUUAAUUCUUUAUUGGAUUAACCACUUUUCAAAUCUGACCUCGAAUCAGGCGGGACUACCCGCUGAACUUAAGCAUAUCAAUAAGCGGAGGA
RNAcentral lists this unclassified non-coding RNA (416 nucleotides) under soil metagenome. RNAcentral's name for it is "partial contains 5.8S ribosomal RNA, internal transcribed spacer 2, and large subunit ribosomal RNA". The stretch from base 1 to 120 matches the Rfam family "5.8S ribosomal RNA", at positions 35 to 154 of the family's 154-position model. The record is from RNAcentral.